AACAUGCAAACUCCACACAGAGAUGGACGAGGGUGGAAUUGGGGUCUCCUAGCUGUGAGGCUUGCAUGCUAACCACUCGGUCGCAGUGCCGCCUAAAAGGGGACCUAUUAUACAAAUUUUCGGACUUAGACACAAUAGUCCGCACAGAAAGCUUUCUAGAUCUUCCAGACUCUGCACCUCUUCCAGCAGUGUUUCCUUGAAUUUCCUGCCUCCCACCCACCCAGAUUCAUCGUGCUGCUGAAAGAAUUGUUUGUCACUAAACUGGAUGGUUGGGAGGAGUUGCUCUCAGAGAAGGUUGUAGUACCAGUCGUUACCCAUGGCUGUGCUCUUUGGCAAAACAGUGAGUGAGUCUCAGAAAAAGCAACCAGGCCUGCUGACUGACCUCCGCUGAGGAUGUAGUUGGACGGUGGAAGGAAUUCUUUGAGGCCCUUCUCAAUCUCACUGACAUACCUUCCAUGGAGCAAGCAGAGUCCGAGGAUACGUAUGCAAAACAGUUCCAGGGAUUAUGUCUCACAGCUGGCCCCAGGAACGCCUCGGUGGCCGGGGACCAGGAAGUCUGGGCUUCCUUACUGAGAUUGCUGCCCCUGCAAGCCGGAUAAGCGGAGGAAAAUGUAAAUGUAAAUGUAAAGAACAAGGGAUUGGUUUUAUAAAUAGCAAGUAAUUUGGGCUUCAUGUGGAUGUUUGCUAUGUUUACUAUGAUUUCAACGUGUCCAUGAAUGCAGCGGCACCGAUAAAAAUCUUUUAAAUCUCUUAAUGCACAAAUAAUCAUUCAAACGUACUUAUUUUAUGAUAUGAUGCACACUGAGCAAUAAACAAUUUGACACUCUGUCUCCUUCCUGCUCUGAUAUCCAUUUGACUGUGCUGUACUCCCAUAGUCCGUGUUGCCACCUUUGCGACUUUUUCGCUACAUCUGGCGACAUGUUUUCGCAAAAGCGACUAGCGACAAAUCUGGCGACUUCUUCUGGUGUUGUUGCGGAAUUAUCUGGUAUUUGGCGAAUUCAAGUAAAAACACGUAUUGUACUACAGUUUCUGUUCUCACUGAGCAGCAGCAGGUGCUGGUGAGAGGUGAGGUACCCCGCCAACCCCCCAAACCGGUCACAAGUCAUCAGUGCCCUAUCAGCAUCCGCAGCACGCAGAGAGCAUAGCAUAGUGGAGCGCUAAGCAGCCAUGAAAUUCCGCCGGUCUGGAUCUUUCCCUGUUUUACAGAGCAGGAUCUAAAUCGUAAAUGUUUCUUAAUCUUAAUUAAAUUACUACUCAUAAAACUAAAAAAAAAUCCUGAUGCCAAACAAGCAUCUUGUUGAGUCUUUCUGGUGAAAUUGAGUGCUCAGUAUCCACUUUUCUGUCUGUGAAUGACACUGAGACUAGCAAUUAGCAAGGCGUCAUGUUAGCUAGCUAUUAUCAAUGCGCAGAAAUCGCAGAAAGAAGUUUCGUUAAUGUUUUAAAUAGUCAAAAUAUGGCAAGAUACUGCAACUAUUACAUGUUAUCAUUAGAUUCAUAACCAAAAUAGGUGUAUCCCAAUGACAGUAUUGUAAGCUAGCUGAUAUUAACUUGUUUCUUUGUGUUAUAAUGCACAGAAAAGGGUAAGAAACAUGUGUUCAUGUUUCACAUAAGCAUUGUGAAUACUUAUUUAGGAUUGUUUUACACAUGUAAAAUUCUAAUAACUACAAAAACUUGUUUUGUUACAGGUUUUGAGAGCCAACCACUGUUGACAUCGUAUAGCGGGGUGAUGUAACGUCUGAUUCCGCUUGCCAUUUUGUUUGCUAGCUUACAGUAUGUCAACAAGGAAGGAUGUUUACUGAUUUAAAAAAUAUAUAUUGAGAAAAGAGGUGGACUCACGCAGAUCAGGAUCUAAAACGUAAAUGUUUCUUAAUCUUAAUGAAAUUACUACUCAUAAAACUCAUUAUUCAGACUCUGUCACUUACCUGUCAGUGUGUCUGAACGGGAUAGGAGAACAUUGUGUGAUAAAUUAAACAAGUAGGCUUAACCGCAAGUUAGAAGAUGGAGGCUGGCGGCUAGUCUGAAUUACGCUGUGGAGACUGAGUGGCGCUAGCCGAGCUAAAAUACUUACAACAACACUUACGAUGCUCGCUCUCAUUGGGAUGGCUUUGUCUUCCAGUCCUCCGGUAAAAAAAUCCUGACGCCAAACGAGCAUCUUGUUGAGUCUUUGUGGCGAAAUUGAGUGCUCGAUAUCCACUUUUCUAUCUGUGAAUGACGCUGAGACUAGCGAUUAGCGAGGUUGUCGUGUUAGCUAGCUAGUAUCAAUGCGCAGAGAAAAGAAGUUUCGGUAGUGUUUUAAAUAGUCAAAAUAUGGCCAGAUACUGCAACUAUUACAUGUUAUCAUUAGAUUAUGCCGCAAAUAGUCACUUUUCUUACAACUUUUCUUAUAACCAAAAUAGGUGUAUCCCAAUGACAGCAUUGUAAGCUAGCUGAUAUUAACUCGUUUGCGACUAGCGAGGUUGUCGUGUUAGCUAGCUAGUAUCAAUGCGCAGAGAAAAUAAGUUUUGGUAGUGUUUUAAAUAGUCAAAAUAUGGCCAGAUACUGCAACUAUUACAUGUUAUCAUUAGAUUAUGCCGCAAAUAGUCACUUUUCUUACAACUUUUCUUAUAACCAAAAUAGGUGUAUCCCAAUGACAGCAUUGUAAGCUAGCUGUUAUUAACUCGUUUCCUUGUGUUAUAAUGCACAGAAAAAGGUAAGAAAAAUGUGUUCAUGUUUCACAUUAGCAUUGUGAAAGCUUAUUUAGGAUUGUUUUACACAUGUAAAAUUAUAAUACCUACAAAAACUUGUUUUGUUACAGGUUUUGAGAGUAACUUCUGAUUUUGUUUGCUAGCUUAUAGUAUGUCAACAAGGAAGGAUGUUUUCUGAUUUCAAAAAUAUAUAUUAAGAAAAGAAGUGGACUCACGCAGUGUAUUAAUAACAUGACAAGAUAUGCGCCUUAUUGUACGCUAACUGGAAAAAGAACACACACCGAGGCAACAAAAUAGCGGGGUACAUUUUUGACAUUAGCCAAAAAACACACUGAGGCAGACACUCCCAGAGAUUCCACUGUACUUAAAAAUACCUGUGUAGUUAAUUGUAAAGGUUUCAUGACAUUAACCCUUUAUUCUCAUUCUUCCAGGUCAUUGUAUUCUCAGGGCAUUCAAUCGAUCGCAACAGGACUCGACAAACAAAUUAAAGCGUUAUACAGCAAGAUGAAAACAAAUGUAAACAACACUGCAGGUCACUGCCUGCAGCUCCUCCCAUGCAGCCCAAGGACCCCGGAGCCAAUCUCUCAUGCAGGCCACACCGCAGCGAGCACUUCAAAGUCAUGUUCCUCUUGUAGCCUCCAGCUGCUGACAUGCGGCUCUGCUGUGACCGAUAAAAUUUGACAAUUUGUAGCAAAGCCCAAUCAUGACCUUCGCCAUGCUGCGACCGGUGUCCGCGCACUUCUAUUCCGACCUCAGCAUCACGUCCGAGGAUGACGAGAACCGCAGCGAGAGCGACGACGGUUCGGACCGGCUCUGCUGCGGUGCUGCUGCCGGGAAACGCGGGAGGAUGGCGCGCAAAGUGGAGGGCGAAUCCGUUGCGGUUGUGAUGAAGCAGCGGAGCGCCGCCAACGCCAGGGAACGCGGCCGGACUCAGAGUGUCAACACCGCCUUCACGGCACUAAGGACCCUCAUCCCUACCGAGCCGGUGGACAGAAAGCUGUCCAAGAUCGAGACCCUGCGCUUGGCUUCCAGUUACAUUUCCCACCUGGCCAAUGUACUUCUUCUCGGGGACGGCUGCGAGGAUGGACAGCCGUGCCUGGAUGUGGUGCAUGCUCAGGCUGCAGAGAAGGGAAGCAAGCAGCCGAGGACCAUCUGCACUUUCUGCUUGAGCAACCAGAGAAAAGGGGAUGCCGGUGACUGUUUGAAGAUGCGCAGACUGGGCCCACUGCGACUUCGACGCUGACCAAAAAACCACCAAUGGAGGAUUAAGAACCCGAAAAAAAAAAAAAAAACCCUCAAAAGACUUUCUCAGGGAAGACUCAGACCUGUUGUUAGAGCACACAUACAUGCUGGAUCCCGCGGUGGAGCCAAAACAAUAUUUAUAUACGUGACCGAGAAAUGGCCCCCCUCAAAUGGCUCCCCGAGGCUCCCCCCCCCACCCGACAGGAAGAUGUCACAGAGGCACAGGAAGGGAAAACAACGUGCAGCCGACCUCUCUGAG
This is a non-coding RNA of Doryrhamphus excisus (bluestripe pipefish), 4185 nucleotides long. Lineage: Eukaryota; Metazoa; Chordata; Actinopteri; Syngnathiformes; Syngnathidae. The record is from RefSeq and is a predicted model, not a curated record.